UGAAACAUAACAUGAAAUUACACAAAAGUAGAACUGCUCAAAAGAUGAGAAAAGAUCUCGAACCUUUAAGAUCCCAAAAAAAUGCACCAAACUAAUCAAAGGCCCAUGGGAAUGGACUCACCAAGUCGAGGCGAUGUUCAGACAUGAAGGGUGACUGCUAGACGUCGCCAGAGGAUAAUGCACGUGUGGUCACUCACCGGCGUGUGGAACAGGAUACAUAAACUAAGAGUGGUGCGUGGAGGCCACUCUUUCCAAAUGCGGUCACUGGACUUUCAAGGAUGGCUGGUCGGCACCUAGGUCACAUUCUGAGGUUGGUGGUGAGACACCCAAGUAGGUCACAUCCUAGGUUACAGUUGGUUUCGAUCAGUUUAAUAGAAAAAUCUCAGGAAAGAAUUUAGGCUAUGGGACCUACUCCGAUAUCAUGAAGAGGAAGGUGGUUUUUCUAUAUAUCAAUUUCAAUUAAGAGCACAUAGAUAUUUUUAGACAAAGAAUACUGCAU
RNAcentral lists this unclassified non-coding RNA (499 nucleotides) under Hevea brasiliensis (rubber tree). The record is from RNAcentral. Lineage: Eukaryota; Viridiplantae; Streptophyta; Magnoliopsida; Malpighiales; Euphorbiaceae.